ACUCCUACGGGAGGCAGCAGUUUCGAAUCAUUGACAAUGGGCGCAAGCCUGAUCGUGCGACGCCGCGUGGGGGAUGAAGGUCUUCGGAUUGUAAACCCCUGUCACCGGGGACAAACCGGCGGAGGUUAACAGCCUUCGUCCUGAUUUAACCCGGAGAGGAAGCAGUGGCUAACUCUGUGCCAGCAGCCGCGGUAAUACAGAGACUGCGAGCGUUAUUCGGAUUCACUGGGCGUAAAGGGUGCGCAGGCGGCCAAGUGUGUCAGGUGUGAAAUCCCGGGGCUCAACCCCGGAACUGCGCCUGAAACUAUUUGGCUAGAGUGCCGGAGAGGGAAGCGGAAUUCUCGGUGUAGCGGUGAAAUGCGUGGAUAUCGAGAGGAACACCAGAGGCGAAGGCGGCUUCCUGGACGGUUACUGACGCUCAGGCACGAAAGCGUGGGGAGCGAAAGGGAUUAGAAACCCUGGUAGUCC
This 468-nucleotide ribosomal RNA is filed under the name uncultured bacterium. RNAcentral describes it as "bacterial SSU rRNA". It matches the Rfam family "Bacterial small subunit ribosomal RNA", at positions 335 to 796 of the family's 1533-position model. The record is from RNAcentral.